RNAcentral lists this ribosomal RNA (965 nucleotides) under uncultured bacterium. Its description in RNAcentral is "bacterial SSU rRNA". It matches the Rfam family "Bacterial small subunit ribosomal RNA", at positions 121 to 1063 of the family's 1533-position model. The record is from RNAcentral.
GCCCGUACUGCUGUGGGGGAACGUUCGGAACGGACGCUAAUACCGCAUACGUCCUACGGGAGAAAGCAGGGUGACCUUCGGGCCUUGCGCUAUCAGAUGAGCCUAGGUCGGAUUAGCUAGUUGGUGAGGUAAUGGCUCACCAAGGCUACGAUCCGUAACUGGUCUGAGAGGAUGAUCAGUCACACUGGAACUGAGACACGGUCCAGACUCCUACGGGAGGCAGCAGUGGGGAAUAUUGGACAAUGGGCGAAAGCCUGAUCCAGCCAUGCCGCGUGUGUGAAGAAGGUCUUCGGAUUGUAAAGCACUUUAAGUUGGGAGGAAGGGCAUUAACCUAAUACGUUAGUGUUUUGACGUUACCGACAGAAUAAGCACCGGCUAACUCUGUGCCAGCAGCCGCGGUAAUACAGAGGGUGCAAGCGUUAAUCGGAAUUACUGGGCGUAAAGCGCGCGUAGGUGGUUUGUUAAGUUGAAUGUGAAAUCCCCGGGCUCAACCUGGGAACUGCAUCCAAAACUGGCAAGCUAGAGUAUGGUAGAGGGUAGUGGAAUUUCCUGUGUAGCGGUGAAAUGCGUAGAUAUAGGAAGGAACACCAGUGGCGAAGGCGACUACCUGGACUGAUACUGACACUGAGGUGCGAAAGCGUGGGGAGCAAACGGGGAUUAGAUACCCCGGUAGUCCACGCCGUAAACGAUGUCUACUAGAAGCUCGGGAGCCUCGGUUCUGUUUUUCAAAGCUAACCGCAUUAAGUAGACCGCCUGGGGAGUACCGGCCGGCAGGUUAAAACUCAAAUGAAUUUGACCGGGGGCCCGCACAAGGCGGGUGGAGCAUGGUGGUUUAAUUUCGAUGCAACCGCCGAAAGAACCUUACCUACACUUUGAACUUACAGAGAACCUUUACCAGAAGAAUGGGUUUGGUGCACUUCCGGAACUCUCUGAUAACAGGUGCUGCAUGACGUGUCUCAGCUCGU